CAGGGUGUAGCUCAGUUGGUAGAGUUCCGGCCUUGGAAGCCGGUGGUCGUUGGUUCGAGUCCAGCCACCCUGACCA
This 76-nucleotide transfer RNA is filed under the name Sphingosinicella sp. BN140058. Its description in RNAcentral is "tRNA-Pro". It matches the Rfam family "tRNA". From Rfam's summary of the family: Transfer RNA (tRNA) molecules are approximately 80 nucleotides in length. Their secondary structure includes four short double-helical elements and three loops (D, anti-codon, and T loops). Lineage: Bacteria; Pseudomonadati; Pseudomonadota; Alphaproteobacteria; Sphingomonadales; Sphingosinicellaceae. The record is from RNAcentral.